UCUCUUACAGGCAAUCGGUAAAUUGAUCUCCCUGUGCAAAAGCAGGGAUAACUACAUAAGACGAGAAGACCCUGUGGAACUUCAAAACCAGCAGCCACCCCAAAACACAUACACCCCCACUGGGCUCACUGACAUACUGGGAGACUGGCCUGCGUUUUUCGGUUGGGGCGACCUUGGAGAAAAACAAAUCCUCCAAAAAUUGGACCAUCCAUCCAGACUAAGAGCAACUCCUCAAAGUGCUAAUAGUAUCCAGACCCAAUAUAAUUGAUCAAUGGACCAAGCUACCCCAGGGAUAACAGCGCAAUCCCCUCCGAGAGUCCGUAUCGACGAGGGGGUUUACGACCUCGAUGUUGGAUCAGACAUCCUGGUGGC
Molecule: ribosomal RNA, 372 nt
Filed under: Regulus calendula
Lineage: Eukaryota; Metazoa; Chordata; Aves; Passeriformes; Regulidae
Description: partial 16S ribosomal RNA
Rfam family: Bacterial large subunit ribosomal RNA
Source: RNAcentral